Molecule: ribosomal RNA, 487 nt
Filed under: uncultured bacterium
Lineage: Bacteria
Description: partial 16S ribosomal RNA
Rfam family: Bacterial small subunit ribosomal RNA
Source: RNAcentral
GAUGAACGCUAGCGAUAGGCUUAACACAUGCAAGUCGAGGGGCAGCACAAGGUAGCUUGCUCUCUGGGUGGCGACCGGCGCACGGGUGCGUAACGCGUAUGCAACUUGCCCUAUACAGGAGGAUAACCCGUCGAAAGACGGACUAAUACUGCGUAUGCUCACAACUUGGCAUCAAGUGGUGAGGAAAGAAAUUCGGUAUAGGAUAGGCAUGCGUCCCAUUAGCUUGUUGGUGAGGUAACGGCUCACCAAGGCAACGAUGGGUAGGGGAACUGAGAGGUUUAUCCCCCACACUGGUACUGAGACACGGACCAGACUCCUACGGGAGGCAGCAGUGAGGAAUAUUGGUCAAUGGGCGCGAGCCUGAACCAGCCAAGUCGCGUGAAGGAUGACUGUCUUAUGGAUUGUAAACUUCUUUUAGACGGGAAUAACAAGAGUCACGUGUGACUCCCUGCAUGUACCGGAUGAAUAAGCAUCGGCUAACUCCGUG